This 484-nucleotide ribosomal RNA is filed under the name uncultured bacterium. RNAcentral describes it as "bacterial SSU rRNA". It matches the Rfam family "Bacterial small subunit ribosomal RNA", at positions 17 to 518 of the family's 1533-position model. The record is from RNAcentral.
UUAUGGCUCAGGACGAACGCUGGCGGCGUGCCUAACACAUGCAAGUCGAACGGAGAUACGAUUCGGUUGUAUCUUAGUGGCGAACGGGUGAGUAACGCGUGAGCAACCUGACUCUUAGAGGGGGGAUAACACUGGGAAACGAGUGCUAAUACCGCAUAAGACCACGACAUGGCAUCAUGACGAGGUCAAAGGAGCAAUCCGCUGAGAGAGGGGCUCGCGUCCCAUUAGAUAGAUGGUGGGGUAACGGCCUACCAUGGCGACGAUCGAUAGCCGGACUGAGAGGUCGACCGGCCACAUUGGGACUGAGACACGGCCCAGACUCCUACGGGAGGCAGCAGUGGGGAAUAUUGCACAAUGGGGGAAACCCUGAUGCAGCGACGCCGCGUGAGUGAAGAAGUAUUUCGGUAUGUAAAGCUCUUUUAGCAGGGAAGAUGAUGACGGUACCUGCAGAAAAAGCCCCGGCUAAAUACGUGCCAGCAGCGGC